This 127-nucleotide ribosomal RNA is filed under the name Bacillus sp. (in: firmicutes). Its description in RNAcentral is "Bacillus sp. (in: Bacteria) partial 16S ribosomal RNA". It matches the Rfam family "Bacterial small subunit ribosomal RNA", at positions 1 to 124 of the family's 1533-position model. The record is from RNAcentral. Lineage: Bacteria; Bacillati; Bacillota; Bacilli; Caryophanales; Bacillaceae. RNAcentral also lists the same sequence under 1 other name.
UUCAUGGAGAGUUUGAUCCUGGCUCAGGACGAACGCUGGCGGCGUGCCUAAUACAUGCAAGUCGAGCGAACCGACGGGAGCUUGCUCCCUUAGGUUAGCGGCGGACGGGUGAGUAACACGUGGGUAA